Phoenix dactylifera (date palm) is the source of this 116-nucleotide small nucleolar RNA. RefSeq annotates it as small nucleolar RNA Z278. Lineage: Eukaryota; Viridiplantae; Streptophyta; Magnoliopsida; Arecales; Arecaceae. The record is from RefSeq and is a predicted model, not a curated record.
GCCUGUGAUGAUAUCUCCGAGUUUAUGAGGUGUCGCUAGCUCCAAGUCCCUGUUUCACAGGGAGAACCUACUUGGUGCUGUAACAUUCAAAUGAUAUGAAGGGACUUCUUUGAGGC